GACGAACGCUGGCGGCGUGCUUAACACAUGCAAGUCGAACGGAAAGGCCCUGCUUGUGUGGGGUGCUCGAGGGGCGAACGGGGGAGUAACACGUGAGUAACCUGCCCUUGACUUUGGGAUAACUUCAGGAAACUGGGGCUAAUACCGGAUAGGAGCUCCUGCUGCAUGGUGGGGGUUGGAAAGUUUCGGCGGUUGGGGAUGGACGCGCGGCUUAUCAGCUUGUUGGUGGGGUAGUGGCUUACCAAGGCUUUGACGGGUAGCCGGCCUGAGAGGGUGACCGGCCACAUUGGGCCUGAGAUACGGCCCAGACUCCUACGGGAGGCAGCAGUGGGGAAUAUUGCACAAUGGGCGGAAGCCUGAUGCAGCAACGCCGCGUGCGGGAUGACGGCCUUCGGGUUGUAAACCGCUUUCGCCUGUGACGAAGCGUGAGUGACGGUAAUGGGUAAAGAAGCACCGGCUAACUACGUG
RNAcentral lists this ribosomal RNA (468 nucleotides) under uncultured bacterium. RNAcentral describes it as "partial 16S ribosomal RNA". It matches the Rfam family "Bacterial small subunit ribosomal RNA", at positions 28 to 507 of the family's 1533-position model. The record is from RNAcentral.